Molecule: ribosomal RNA, 515 nt
Filed under: uncultured bacterium
Lineage: Bacteria
Description: partial 16S ribosomal RNA
Rfam family: Bacterial small subunit ribosomal RNA
Source: RNAcentral
GAUGAACGCUGGCGGCGUGCCUAAUACAUGCAAGUCGAGCGAAUGGAUUAAGAGCUUGCUCUUAUGAAGUUAGCGGCGGACGGGUGAGUAACACGUGGGUAACCUGCCCAUAAGACUGGGAUAACUCCGGGAAACCGGGGCUAAUACCGGAUAACAUUUUGAACCGCAUGGUUCGAAAUUGAAAGGCGGCUUCGGCUGUCACUUAUGGAUGGACCCGCGUCGCAUUAGCUAGUUGGUGAGGUAACGGCUCACCAAGGCAACGAUGCGUAGCCGACCUGAGAGGGUGAUCGGCCACACUGGGACUGAGACACGGCCCAGACUCCUACGGGAGGCUGCAGUAGGGAAUCUUCCGCAAUGGACGAAAGUCUGACGUAGCAACGCCGCGUGAGUGAGGAAGGCUUUCGGGUCGUAAAACUCUGUUGUUAGGGAAGAACAAGUGCUAGUUGAAUAAGCUGGCACCUUGACGGUACCUAACCAGAAAGCCACGGCUAACUACGUGCCAGCCGCCGCCGUAA